UGAGUAAUGUCUGGGAAACUGCCUGAUGGAGGGGGAUAACUACUGGAAACGGUAGCUAAUACCGCAUAACGUCGCAAGACCAAAGAGGGGGACCUUCGGGCCUCUUGCCAUCAGAUGUGCCCAGAUGGGAUUAGCUAGUAGGUGGGGUAACGGCUCACCUAGGCAAACAAUCCCUAGCUGGUCUGAGAGGAUGACCAGCCACACUGGAACUGAGACACGGUCCAGACUCCUACGGGAGGCAGCAGUGGGGAAUAUUGCACAAUGGGCGCAAGCCUGAUGCAGCCAUGCCGCGUGUAUGAAGAAGGCCUUCGGGUUGUAAAGUACUUUCAGCGAGGAGGAAGGCGAUAAGGUUAAUAACCUUGUCGAUUGACGUUACUCGCAGAAGAAGCACCGGCUAACUCCGUGCCAGCAGCCGCGGUAAUACGGAGGGUGCAAGCGUUAAUCGGAAUUACUGGGCGUAAAGCGCACGCAGGCGGUCUGUCAAGUCGGAUGUGAAAUCCCCGGG
RNAcentral lists this ribosomal RNA (505 nucleotides) under uncultured bacterium. RNAcentral's name for it is "bacterial SSU rRNA". It matches the Rfam family "Bacterial small subunit ribosomal RNA", at positions 107 to 607 of the family's 1533-position model. The record is from RNAcentral.